UUCAGAUUUUCGACUAAGACGAGACCCGAAACGGGUGCUGAUCAAAGUUCAUGUGUGGUUUGUCUUGAAGAGAUAAAGCAAGGGCAGUGGUGUAGAAACCUUGUUGGCUGUGGUCAUGUGUUUCAUAGGAAAUGUGUGGAUGCGUGGCUUGUUAAGGUUUCUGCAUGUCCUAUUUGCAGGACACCAGUUGAAUUGGAUCAGGGCGUAAAAGAUAGGCCACUGUGGGACUUUGUUUGGAGAAAUGAAUUGAAGGUUUGGUAGGAUUUUCUUUUUCUCUAUCUAAUUGUAAGUUCUUGUUAAAUGAUCCCCUCUUCUUUUUUUUGUAUGUACGUUAUUAGAUUUUUGGUUUUAUAAAUAAGCGAAUGGUAACAACUUUCAACUCCAUGUAUUUGAUUUUGAAUUGCAGCAUGCUUGUUCGAUCGAUAAUUCUCUUCAUGAUAUAUGCUCUGUUUUGAAUACGAAAUCUGAUUUUGGUUGUUGGAUUCUUGAUUGUAAGUCAAACGCGACUACUUUGAUCGGUCAGAAAUGAAAGGUUGGUGCUUUUAAGAGGUCAGGGCUCAAUUACUUUCCUUCGAAUUGUCUGUGGAGACCGCAUGAAAGGUUGUCUGUGCUUGAUGAAUUUGUUGGCCAGACUUCGACAUUAUUAGGAAGAAAUCAAUUCUUUUCCAAAUGGAUUUACUUAUUCAUAAUCGAAAUGAACUUAGUGGCUGCAUACAGUAGGAAUUCUGCAAAUUGACGAGGACAAGCUAAAUUUUUAUUUCCCAGUAUAUGAAAUGGUUGCUCAUGAAUAUUUUCUUAACCCGAUCAAAUUAGAGUAACAUUAAAAUCUUUUAACCCCAUUUCAUAACUUCUUAAGCAGCCAAUGAUUACCUCAAUGUAGUGGUAAUAAAACACUACAUUCAUACUUCAACGAAAACUUAUUCCAUUCCAUUAGAGUAAUUGUUGCUUUUAAGCGGCUAUCCACCUGCUCCUAGGAUAUUUCUGUGCUCUUAGUGUUUUGAUCCAAGCAAACAGAAAUACAGAACAGCAAAGAGCUUGGAGUUCAAAAGAAAAAAGAUACCAUCAAUAUAAGCUGCAUAACAUCAAGAAAUUCUUACCAGUCUGCUUCUUUCGUCACCAACGAAUUUUACAACAUCAGAUUAGCUUUUCUUAUACGACGGAAAGCAGCAGCCUUGCAUAUCUUUUGCCGGAGAUAAUCAUCUCUCUCUCUAGUAUUUUUUACUGUUACAUAGUGAAAUUAGAUUUGACUUGAGUACACCUGUUUUGAUUUGAUCUCAUUUCUUCUUAUUUGUUCAUCAUGGUGAUUUCCUUUUGUUGCUGGUUUUUGAAUCUGCUGUUUGGUGCUGGAAUUUGAUUACUGUAAUAGAUAAUUGCCAAUAUGUCGAGCUUGAGCUUGCUUUGUGUUGGUCUUUGUUGUGACUACUCUUGAUCUCUUCUACGAGAUUCUCCUGCUCUGCUUUUUCCUUUUGCUAAACUUAUUGUUUGCCUGGAUUUCGGGUCAUGAUCUAACGUUGUGGCCAGUUGGGAAAACAAUUGCUGGGAAGAGGGUACAAUACGAUACUGUGGUUGAGUAGUGAAAUCACACGCUACAUUGCAUUUCUUUUAUUUUUAGGCAUUAAUGGAUUGGUGCUUGGGGAAUGAUUCUCCUUGCUGUGUUAUGCAUGUUCUUGUGGCCUAAGUCAUAAAUUUCAUUUCUAAGAAUUUAUGGCGGAGUUAAUUGUUGGAAAGGGGAAUCCUUCUUUUCUUGUUGUCACUGCAUAACUUUGAUGUCUAGUUUCCUUUGGUUUCAUGCAAUGAACCUUUGUGGUUCCUUCUCCCUUUACUCAAAUUUGAUUCUUGAUUCUUCCCCAUUUGUAAGUGGCCUUGGCCAAAAAAACUAGUUCAGUGCAGAUCCUUUGAACUGAAGUGCAAAAACUGUAUUAUACCAUACCAUGGCCUCUCAAUAUCAUGUAAAAUCCUGGGAUUUUAGUGCUUGGCGUGCUACUUCAUUGGAUAAAGAUGUUUUUGAUGCUGGUUUAACAAAGACCCUGUCAGGACUUGCCGGAAAUAUAAAAAACACGAUGAUCCUGUUAGGGAACCGCCAGUUUCUUGAAUUUCCAUACAAAAAAUAUCGUCAUAUAAUCUUGAGCUUCGGUUACUACUCCUUUUAAGAAAGAUAUUUGCAGCAUCUAGUUUAUCCCAGUAUUCAAUAUGAUUUGUUAAAAUAAAAAAGGAUUUUGAAAUUUGAUUCUCGAACCAUUAUUCAACAUCACCCUAUAUUUCCUGAAAGAUGGUUGAUAAGGAUGGAAGAAGAAGAGAUAUCAUUUUCUUUGACAAGUGGGACCCAUCAAAACUGGAGCCAUAACCCAUUUAACGGUUGAGGAGCGCCCAUGGUUAUCUGUCUCUCUCUCUCUAUAUUAAAGAACUCUAAAACGCGUGGGGAAAGUACUGUAGCUUUCCCCACGUCUCCUGUGCAUUUUUUUUUUUUUCCACGCCUCAUUACUCAUUAGUUAAUUAAAGAACUCUAAAACGCGUGGGGAAAGUACUGUAGCUUUCCCACGUCUCCUGUGCAUUUUUUUUUUUUUCCACGCCUCACUACUCAUUAGUUAAAUAUCACAAAAAAAAAAAAAAAACCUAAACCUAAGGAUUUUCUUGUGGAGCUGCAGCCCCCUCCUCUCUUUGAAAAAAACCAAACACAGCCGCCUCCCCGGGGUUUGAAUUGUUUCUCCUCACCGGACCGCCCUCUUCAGCUUUUCUCUUCUUCUUCUUCACUGGAGCUCCCCACGGUUCUCCUUCUUCUCGCCAGCCAAACUCAGCCCACGAAGAAGCCGCCACCAUUCAUCAACACAGAGCCACCGACACAGCCCUUAAUUUCACUCCUCUUUCCCCCAUUUUCCUUUAGCCUUUGGACCACAACAGCCCCUUUAGCUUCUCAGUUGCAGGAGCAAAAGGCGAACCGGACGGAGACCAGCCUUCUCCUCCCUCAACAGCAACGGCGAAGCAGCGCCUUCCACUCGAUGUAAAAAAUAUAUUUUUUUUUAUCUGUUUGGUUCGCUGGAAAACGAAUGGACAGGAAAGAAAGUUAAAUUUCUGAAAGUUAUUCCAGUUAGGUUUAUUUGAUCAAUUUAAGAAGAUUAGUUGGUUCUGUUAAAAAUAAUACGCAAAUUAUAUUUAUAUUUUUUAAUUUCGUGUUUUUGCAGGGGGAGUGAAUUUGAUUGGAGAGCAUAUUGAUUAUGAAGGCUACUCGGUGUUGCCAAUGGCAAUAAGGCAAGAUACUAUUAUAGCAAUCCGUAAAAAUUAUGCACAAAAAGUUCUUCGAAUCGCAAAUGUUAAUGACAAAUAUACAGAGUGUACUUAUCCUAUUGACCCUAAUCAGGUCUGAACCAACCUACAACUUCUUCAAUAGUAAUGUAUUCAUUGUUUUCCCGUUGGAUUGAUUGUUAUAUUCUGUAAUAAUUUGCAGGCAAUUGACUUGAAGAAUCAUAAAUGGGGUCAUUAUUUCAUUUGUGGGUAUGAUAUAGAACAGCAAUUUUAAUUGAUUAGUUCUGAAGCUUCUUGUGGUUUUUUCCCCUUUUUUUUCAAUCUUUUUGUGGGUUUCCAGGUAUAAGGGUUUUUAUGAAUUUGCGAAAUCAAAAGGAGUGGAUAUGGGUGACGCGGUUGGACUUGAUGUUAUUGUUGAUGGAACUGUUCCAACAGGUGAAUGAAUUAGAAGUUGAUUUUAGUUAGCUGUUGUUAAUGAUGUGACAUCGCCUGCUCAUUAUAAGAGAAGACUAAGCUGGAGUUUUUUAAUACAGGUUCUGGUUUGUCCAGCUCUGCUGCGUUUGUUUGCUCUGCUACCAUUGCUAUUAUGGCUGCUUUUGAUGUGAACUUUCCAAAGGUAAAACAGUUCUUUCACCAAAUUUAUGAUGAAUAUAAUACCUCAACCACCUCUAAGUUGUUUUAAGGGCGUCUUUUAAUCUUACAACUAGAAGUAGAAAGCACUUCUCCAGUAUUAGGCAUCCAGAAAGCCUUGCUAUACUGUCAAAGUUUUGAAUUUGUUAAUUUUUUACAUUUCGCUGGUGUUAUCUACACUUUUUUCUUGGAAGAGAUUGAUAAUAAAAAAGGGGAUGUGUGUGUUGGUGUAUUUUUAUUUAUUUAUUUUGAAUUUGUAUUUGUAUUUGUAUUUGUAUUGUGGAUGUGAAAGAAAAGAAAAGAAAAGAAAAGAAAAAAGAAAAGAAAAAGAAAAGAAAUGAAAAUAGUGAAUGGGUGUGUUUGUAUUUUGUGUUAUUUAUUUGUAUUAUUAUUAUUAUUAUAUUAUAUUAUUCCUAAGCAUCAGUGAAUGAAAGUUUUUUUUUUUUCACGCCUCACUUUACUCAUUAUUAAUAUAUUAUUAUUAUAUUAUAUUAUAUUAUUUAAUUGUCUUAUUGUUUUUCGUUUUUUUUUUUUUGUUUUUUUGAUGAAUUUUUUUGUUUGAUUUAGUUUGUUGGUAUUAAAUUUUUUCUAUUUAAUUAUCAGAUUUUCAUAACAUGUAUCCUGACUUGACGGGUUAACUUGGUUUGAUGGGUUGACUCAGUUAGCUUUAGGUAAACCCGUUAAUUUUUUCAUUUAUUUAGUUAUCAAACUUUCAUGAUGCGAAUUCCAGAUUUGACGGGUUAAUCCAGUUAAUUAAUUUUAUUUUUUUUCAUUAGUUUUUUUUUCUGUUAGUUUUUUUUUGUUUUUUUUUGUUUUUAAUCAAUCUAUUUAAUUAUCACACUUAUAUGACACGACCUUGCAGCCAGACCUACAUCCAAGACUAUUGGAUCUUAUAUUGCAGCCACCCCCACUUAAACUUGGGUCAUGCAAGUUUAAUAUUAUAAAUAUUAUUUUUAGGUCAAGUGUUGCAGCCAAACUCAAGAAUCUUGGGUUUUGCUGCAACGCCUGACCUAAGAGUAAUAUUUAUAAUAUUAAUAAUAAAAUUAAACUUGCAUGACCCAAGUUUAAGUGAGCCUCACUGUAACACCGGACCCAGGAAUAUUGGAUGUGGGUCUGGCUAUAAGGUCGUGUCAUAAAAGUGUGAUAAUUAAAUAGAUUAAUUAAAAAAAACAAAGAAAAAAAAUCAACUGAAAGAGAAAAACUAAUGAAGAAAAAGAAAAAGAAAUUAAAUUAAUUGGGUUAACCCUUUAAACCAAGUUAUCCCGUAAAACCUGGAUUUGCGUCAUGAAAGUUUGAUAACUAAAUAGAAUUUAAUUUUUUUUAAUGAAUUUUUUUGUUUGAUUUAGUUUGUUAAUGUUAAAUUUUUUUAUUUAGUUAUCAGAUUUUCAUGAUACGGAUCUCGAGUUUGAUGGGUUGACCUGAUUUGACGAGUUAUUUUUUUCAUUUAGUUUAGUUUGUUAAAGUUAAUUUUCUUUCUAUUUAGUUAUCAGACUUCCAUACUUUCAUGAUACGUAUCCUGAGCUUGACAGAUUAACUUGGUUUGAUGGGUUAACCCAAUUAAUUCUGGGUAAACCCGUCAUUUUUUUUCUAUUUAGUUAUCAAACUUUCAUUACGCAAAUCUCAGGUUUUACGGGAUAACCUGGUUUAAAGGGUUAACCCAAUUAAUUAUUUUUUUUUUCUUUUUCUUCAUUAGUUUUUUCCUUUCUGUUGAUUUUUUUCUUUGUUUUUUUUAAUUAGUUUAUUUAAUUAUUACAUUUUUAUAACACGACCUUAUAGCCAGACCCACAUCCAAAAUUCUUGAGUCCGGUGUUGCAAUUAGCUCACUUAAACUUGGGUCAUGCAAGUUUAAUUUUAUUAUUAAUAUUAUAAAUAUUACUUUUAGAUCAGGCGUUGCAGCCAAACCCAAGAUUUUUUAUUUUUUAUUUUUUUUUAUAUUUUUAUACAAAAAAAAAGACCCGCGGCAUAGCGCGGGUACCAAGGCUAGUAUAUAUAUAUAUAUGGUGGCAGAUCUUGAAGGGACAGGUGACCGGUAGCCCCCAAGGUUUUGACUAACAUUACACUUUGGGCCCUGUGCUGUUAAGAGAUUGCAAUUUUAUUUUUAUAUUGAGUAAAUUUAUUUAAUCAGUUUUCUUCAUCUUACAUUGAUCCUUGAUUUUUAAUAAUAUAAUUCAUGUGUUUUUAUGGGGUGAAAUCUCUUAAAUUACUCGACAAGUCAAUAUAUAUUUAUAUAGGUAACGCCUUUAAAUUAUUCAACAAGUUAACAUAUAGGAUGGAAGAAACUAUUGUUUUCAAUAAAAACAUCUACUAAAAUAUUUAAAACAAAUUAAAAUGUAUCCAAAAUAUUGUUUGAUCUGAAUAAAAAUUUUAUUUAGAUUAUUACAUGUGGUUUAUAGAAAAAACGACCAAUUUGUAGAUAAAUUAUAUUGAUAAAAAAUAAAACAAAUAAUAUCAUACUAUUGAUCUUGUCACUCGAAAGCAUAACCCAUCACUAAAUAUGUGUGUACACGACCAUACAUAUACAUGUAUUCCUUAAAAGUUUGCACAAGUUAUUUAAUCAACUUUAGAGUUGAAAUUAUAUUCUUGGCGAACUCUAGAUUUUUUUUUUAACAUUUUAAAGAAUAUAAAAAGGUUAAAAAAAUAAUUUUUUAAACUUAUAACCUGUUAAAUGCUAAAUGUGAACUCCAUCAGGAUUAACAAUAACUUUGUUGCAACAACCAAUUAUAUUUUAAAAAAAUGCAGUGAACGAAAUAAUUGGUUAUUAACGAUUAAAGUAUAUUGACCGUAGGGAAUUCGCUAUAAAGUUUCUCUUUAUUAUUAUCAUUAUUAUUAUUAUUAUUAUUAAAGAUGAGUAAAAAAACUAAAAUAUUGAUUAAAUCAAGAAAAAAAAUUAAAUAAAAUAAUCAAAUUGAUUAAAAUAUUUUUAAAAAACCAACCGGUUCGAUUUGGUUUUGAUUUUAUAAGUAUGAAAUUGAAAAAACCAAACUGAAUCCAAACUAAAAAAACCGAGUUAAAUCGAAAACAACCGAGUCAAAUUGAUCCAAACUAAAAAAACCGGGUUAAACCGGUUUGAACCAAUUUUUGUCCUAAAAAACAAACCGAAGCGGGUCGGUUUGAACCGAUUUCUGUUUUUUUUAAAAAAAAAUUUGGUUUAAUUACUUUUUUAUAUAUAUAAAAACUAAACCAAAUAAAAAAUAAUCACUUCUUAUUAUUAUUCUCAUCCAACUAAACUAAACAAUUUGAAUUCUAUUUGUGUUGUUUUAUGCAUAAAACGACGAGGACGACGACGACAGCAUAGCAAUCUAUCCAUCCAUUGGUAUAUUCGACCAAGAGUGCAUAUUUUAAAUAACAAAACCGUGCCGUCUUAAGGAAAUAUCUGAUGCUUUCUAUUAAAAAUCAUGAAGAUUUUAGAAAGAUAAUUCAAGACAAGAACGCCCUGUUACAAUUCUAUGGGUCUACGGAUACAAUAACCUAGCGUUUUCUUGUCGUUUUGUUUUUUCUUAUGACAAGGACUGUUGUAAAGGAACCUAACUCCUACCUACCUAGCUAGGUCCGUCUCAUCCACUGCAGAAGAAACUACACGUAGGUUUUGCGUGAGAAUGGUGACAGAUCCUCCGCGUAAACCAGCAUCGUGCGAACACAAUGCGACAUCACAUCGGCAUUCUAACUACAGCCGCCCUUUUCUACCCAUAGAAAGAAGAAUGUGGAAUAAUAAAAAACGCACUCCGCUUUCUUCUCCUCUCGUAUUCUAUAAAUUGGACCCCAUUUUUGGAGUCACACCAAAAACCUUUUCAGUCUGACCAUUUCCUUUUCGUUCAUUAACUUCAAUCUGUAACCAUGUCUCCUCCUCCUCCUCAUCACGACGGUGGUGCACCACCAAAAACAAACCGGAAGUUUAUUUUUCUUGUCCUGAAAGCCAUAGUAAUGAUCGCGAUAACCAUCCUUUUUUUCGUACUCCUUGGUGUUGCCGCCAUCCUCCUCCUCAUUCCCACCGCCGCACUCCACCGCCACUCGACUCCAUCCUCCAAUCCCCCAAAGGGGUUGCCUCUCAGAGACUUAAAGAAGCUCCCAAGAUUCAGAUUCUCGACUAACACGACGCCUGAAACGGCUGCUGAUCAAAGUUCGUGUGUGGUUUGUCUUGAAGAUAUAAAGCAAGGGCAGUGGUGUAGAAACCUUGUUGGCUGUGGUCAUGUCUUGCAUAUGAAAUGUGUGGAUAGUUGGCUUGUUAAGGUUUCUGCGUGUCCUAUUUGCAGGACAAGAGUUGAAUUUGAUC
RNAcentral lists this long non-coding RNA (8140 nucleotides) under Populus tremula. RNAcentral's name for it is "long non-coding RNA (PTRE_LNC001497)". The stretch from base 4811 to 4899 matches the Rfam family "MIR474 microRNA precursor family". The record is from RNAcentral. Lineage: Eukaryota; Viridiplantae; Streptophyta; Magnoliopsida; Malpighiales; Salicaceae.